UAAAUCUUAGCGGUGGAUCACUCGGUUCGUGGAUCGAUGAAGAACGCAGCUAGCUGCGAUAAAUAGUGCGAAUUGCAGACACAUUGAGCACUAAGAAUUCGAACGCACAUUGCGCCAUCGGGUUCAUUCCCGUUGGCACGUCUGGCUGAGGGUCGAA
Molecule: ribosomal RNA, 157 nt
Filed under: Contracaecum sp. PB-2010
Lineage: Eukaryota; Metazoa; Nematoda; Chromadorea; Rhabditida; Anisakidae
Also listed under: 1 other name
Description: 5.8S ribosomal RNA
Rfam family: 5.8S ribosomal RNA
About the family: 5.8S ribosomal RNA (5.8S rRNA) is a component of the large subunit of the eukaryotic ribosome. It is transcribed by RNA polymerase I as part of the 45S precursor that also contains 18S and 28S rRNA. Functionally, it is thought that 5.8S rRNA may be involved in ribosome translocation.
Source: RNAcentral